UCGCGAUUUUGAUAAACAUUUAAAAACGAGUUAUGUUUAAACCAGGAUACUACCCUAAUUGCGAGACUCAAACUUCACUAAACACUUGUGGUAACCUACAUAACAUCGACCUACUUAAGGGGGAAACCCGACACAUUUUAACUUUUUAUUUCGAGCUGCGAAAAAAAAGUUUUAGAUAUUGAUCUUCAUUUUACUGUCUUGCGCAUAAGCGUAGUUUAAUCUACGGUCUGGUAAUUCAGUGAAAAACAAACAAUUAAGCUCUUCAACUACACCUAUACUUCUUCGGAUAUUUUUGUUUUGUUAAUUGUAUAUUAUAAUUCCUGUUACAUUUUAGCUAUUUUGUAUCAUUUAACUGUCACUGCUAAACUUGGACUCCCCAUAACCCAUCGUGCCUUUAAUUUAAAUAAUAGUUUCAAAACAUAUAUGAUUUAUAAAACUGAUCUUCAUUUCAAAUAGUUCACCGAUGUCAGUUCAGGCUGUUGCCACAUGCAAACUGAUCGAAUGAAUUAUUUUUAAAAAAAGGUUUUAAAACUACUCAGAGAUUGUUCAUAAUGCGAAAGCUGGGGUCAAUUAGUUGCAUGAGACGGCAAUUGGCCACAAUUGGGAACAAGAUAUAACUUGUAGUUCUAAGUAAACUACCACGUGAAGCCUAGUUUGACACAAGAAUAAAGGAGGGUUGUAUUACUCAUCAAAUCCAGUGACACAAAUUUCUCCAUGACUUCCGGGAUCUAGGAAGCACCCCAGAACUUGGCGAUAGCACCCUCAUUUUCCGUCAGUCUCAGUCAAGAUGAAUACCUGACCGAAAUAUGCCGUAAUUGUGAGUUCAGGCGUGCAAACAUCCAAGUCGAAACAUUGCCUUACUGGAGUAAUAACAGUGACUGAAAAUAAGAUUUCGGCAAGCGUGUUUAUCUGGCCAUGUUGCGGAGGAAUUCUCUAGACUGGUAGGAGAUCUGUUGACAACGUGUAGGUACUAUCAUGGCCACCGAAGCUAACUCUGAGAAUUCUAGCGGAGGGUUCAAAGACAAAGAUUCCAAUAAGCGAAGACUCAGUAGCCCUUCUGGUGAUAAAAUAACUUUACUGAAGCGCGAAAACGACAUACUUCAACAGCAACUCAAAUGCAGGAUGUGCCAAGUCAAAGAAAAGGAUCAACUUUUUGUUCCAUGCCACGAUAUCUAUGCCUGCAAGGAUUGUGCUAACAAAGUCUCUAGGUGCCCUGCUUGUGAUCAAGAAAUAACAGCAAGAGAAACGAUCACACUGGCAGCAAGUAUUUAAAUUGUUGCCUUGUUAUACAACUCAUUGACCUUAAACUCGUGGCUGAUACAGCUUGUAGCAGACUGAAACCGAAACAACAGGAAUACAGGCCACAGAAUCUAUCGAUCGUUGUUUUUUCGAUAAUCUUUACAGGAACAGUGUCUAUCGUUCAUUUUAUUUUUCCAAUAAGCAUGACGGAUUCAUCGACCGCUUUCUUCCAAUAAGCUCGAUGAAAGUACUGUCUAUCGACCGCUUUCUUCAAAUGGUAGAAAACAAUCGAGAUAACAAUACAGGAAUAAGAAGUUUAAAUCUCAUGUGUUUAGAGUUUAAACUCCCGAUUGAGCUAAGAUUAUGUAAGAGCUAACGAACUAAGCCCAGUAAAACUAACCAAGAGAAACGUUGCAAGACUUGGAAUAGAAUGAAAUGGAUAUGUUAUUUUCACACUGCAUCGUAAGUAACAAACUGUAGGGCCUACAUACAUAAACAUUCAUAGCCUUGAUUCAUGUAGUGAACAGUAUCAUACUACAGAGGCUAUAGAACUACACUUUUCUGUAAAAAAUAAAACAAAUCUUUGGAAUCUAAA
Molecule: long non-coding RNA, 1834 nt
Organism: Physella acuta
Lineage: Eukaryota; Metazoa; Mollusca; Gastropoda; Physidae
Source: RefSeq, a predicted model, not a curated record